CCCUACGGGGCGCAGCAGGCGCGAAAACUUUGCAAUGCGGGAAACCGUGACAAGGGAACUCUGAGUGCCCGUUAAAUCGGGCUGUCCAUCGGUUUAAAUAACCGGUGAAGAAAGGGCCGGGCAAGACCGGUGCCAGCCGCCGCGGUAAUACCGGCGGCUCGAGUGGUGGCCACUAUUACUGGGCUUAAAGCGUUCGUAGCUGGUUUGUUAAGUCUCUGGGGAAAUCUUCCGGCUUAACCGGAAGGCGUCUCAGGGAUACUGGCAGACUAGGGACCGGGAGAGGUGAGAGGUACUCCAGGGGUAGGAGUGAAAUCCUGUAAUCC
Molecule: ribosomal RNA, 323 nt
Filed under: uncultured methanogenic archaeon
Lineage: Archaea; Methanobacteriati; Methanobacteriota
Description: bacterial SSU rRNA
Rfam family: Archaeal small subunit ribosomal RNA
Source: RNAcentral